Molecule: signal recognition particle RNA, 296 nt
Filed under: Colobus angolensis palliatus
Lineage: Eukaryota; Metazoa; Chordata; Mammalia; Primates; Cercopithecidae
Description: Metazoan signal recognition particle RNA (ENSCANG00000012968.1)
Rfam family: Metazoan signal recognition particle RNA
About the family: The signal recognition particle (SRP) is a universally conserved ribonucleoprotein. It is involved in the co-translational targeting of proteins to membranes.
Source: RNAcentral
GACAGGUACAGUGGCACGUGCUUGUAGUUAGCUACUCAGGAGGCUGAGGCAGGAGGAUCACUUGAGCCCAGGAGUCCUGGGCUGUAGUGCCCUAUGCUGAUAGGGUGUUCACACUGAGUUCACAUUAAUAUGGUGACCUCCCGGGAGUGAGGGAUCACCAGGCUGCCUAAGGAGGGGCUAACCUGCCCAGGUCAGAAGCAGAACAAGUGAAAAUUCCCAUAUUGAUCAGUAGUGGGAUCAUGCCUGUGAAUCACCACUGCACUCCAGCCUGGGCAACAUAGCAAGACCCCAUUUCU